Molecule: long non-coding RNA, 474 nt
Filed under: Phoenix dactylifera (date palm)
Lineage: Eukaryota; Viridiplantae; Streptophyta; Magnoliopsida; Arecales; Arecaceae
Description: long non-coding RNA (PDAC_LNC008334)
Source: RNAcentral
AAUCGUUAGCAUGUUGAUGAUUGAAUUUUGUAAAUGAAUUGACAAAUCAAUAAAGUAUUUUUUGGCAUUAUUCAUCAUUUUACAUCUUCAAAUGAACUCUUAUAUGAUUAAGUCCUUAGGACUUAUUAAUAAUAAAGGAGGAUUUAUCUUCGAGCCCUUAAACUAGUUCGUGACCAAAUGAUAUGUUGUUACAAGGACGACAACAUUAUCGAGAUUAGAUCGUUGUGUGACAUAUAUGUUGGUUAUCCUCUUAACCAAGGAGUGUGGAGACACUGGUAUGCCACACAGGUGAAGUGUAGGAGUACAUUUUACUGAACCUGACCAAUUCCGGAACGCUCUACUAUCAAUAGAUGUUUCGAGUGGAUAUGGGUAUAAGUUUGGCCCUCUAACCUGAGACCGCAACCUAUGACUAGCAAGCAACUCAUUGUACGUUGGUACCGGACUAGCUGAAUUUCUAAUUCAGUGACAGAAGGU